AAUCAACGCUGGCGGCGUGCCUAACACAUGCAAGUCGAGCGGGAAAGGGGGCUUCGGUCCCUGAGUAUAGCGGCGGACGGGUGAGUAACACGUGGGUAAUUUGCCCUUGGGUGUGGAAUAACUCAGGGAAACUUGAGCUAAUACCGCAUGACAUCCCCUUCACACACGAGUUGGGGAUCAAAGCCGGGGACCCUUCGGGGCCUGGCGCCUGAGGAGAAGCCCGCGCCCGAUUAGCUAGUUGGGA
RNAcentral lists this ribosomal RNA (244 nucleotides) under uncultured bacterium. RNAcentral's name for it is "partial 16S ribosomal RNA". It matches the Rfam family "Bacterial small subunit ribosomal RNA", at positions 32 to 254 of the family's 1533-position model. The record is from RNAcentral.